GACGAACGCUGGCGGCGUGCCUAAUACAUGCAAGUUGAGCGCUGAAGGUUGGUACUUGUACCAACUGGAUGAGCAGCGAACGGGUGAGUAACGCGUGGGGAAUCUGCCUUUGAGCGGGGGACAACAUUUGGAAACGAAUGCUAAUACCGCAUAAAAACUUUAAACACAAGUUUUAAGUUUGAAAGAUGCAAUUGCAUCACUCAAAGAUGAUCCCGCGUUGUAUUAGCUAGUUGGUGAGGUAAAGGCUCACCAAGGCGAUGAUACAUAGCCGACCUGAGAGGGUGAUCGGCCACAUUGGGACUGAGACACGGCCCAAACUCCUACGGGAGGCAGCAGUAGGGAAUCUUCGGCAAUGGACGAAAGUCUGAACGAGCAACGCCGCGUGAGUGAAGAAGGUUUUCGGAUCGUAAAACUCGGUUGGUAGAGAAGAAAGUUGGUGAGAGUGGAAAGCUCAUCAAGUGACGGUAACUACCCAGAAAGGGACGGCUAACUACGUG
This 497-nucleotide ribosomal RNA is filed under the name uncultured bacterium. RNAcentral describes it as "partial 16S ribosomal RNA". It matches the Rfam family "Bacterial small subunit ribosomal RNA", at positions 28 to 507 of the family's 1533-position model. The record is from RNAcentral.